Molecule: ribosomal RNA, 916 nt
Filed under: Porphyromonas genomosp. P3
Lineage: Bacteria; Pseudomonadati; Bacteroidota; Bacteroidia; Bacteroidales; Porphyromonadaceae
Description: bacterial SSU rRNA
Rfam family: Bacterial small subunit ribosomal RNA
Source: RNAcentral
GAUGAACGCUAGCGAUAGGCUUAACACAUGCAAGUCGAGGGGCAGCGAGAUGUAGCAAUACAUUGUCGGCGACCGGCGAAUGGGUGCGUAACACGUAUGCAACUUACCUUUUAGAGGCGAAUAACCCGAUGAAAGUCGGACUAAUACGCCAUAUGCUCCCUUAGUCACAUGAUUAAUGGAGGAAAGAUUCAUCGCUAAGAGAUAGGCCUGCGUUCCAUUAGCUAGUUGGAGAGGUAACGGCUCACCAAGGCAACGAUGGAUAGGGGGACUGAGAGGUUGACCCCCCACAUUGACACUGAGAUACGGGUCAAACUCCUACGGGAGGCAGCAGUGAGGAAUAUUGGUCAAUGGGCGAAAGCCUGAACCAGCCAAGUCGCGUGAAGGAAGACUGCCCGCAAGGGUUGUAAACUUCUUUUGUAUGGGAUUAAAGGUGUCUACGAGUAAACAGUUGCAGUUACCAUACGAAUAAGCAUCGGCUAACUCCGUGCCAGCAGCCGCGGUAAUACGGAGGAUGCGAGCGUUAUCCGGAAUUAUUGGGUUUAAAGGGUGCGUAGGUUGCAAGGGAAGUCAGGGGUGAAAAGCCAUAGCUUAACUAGGGUCUUGCCUUUGAAACUCUCUAGCUAGAGUGUAGUGGAGGUACGUGGAACGUGUGGUGUAGCGGUGAAAUGCAUAGAUAUCACACAGAACUCCGAUUGCGCAGGCAGCGUACUAUACUACAACUGACACUGAAGCACGAAAGCGUGGGUAUCAAACAGGAUUAGAUACCCUGGUAGUCCACGCAGUAAACGAUGAAUACUAGAUCUAUGCGAUAUACAGUAUGGGUCUAAGCGAAAGCGAUAAGUAUUCCACCUGGGGAGUACGCCGGCAACGGUGAAACUCAAAGAGAUUGGCGGGGGUCCGCACAAGCGGAGGAACA